This 217-nucleotide long non-coding RNA is filed under the name Brassica rapa (field mustard). RNAcentral's name for it is "long non-coding RNA (BRAP_LNC008510)". The record is from RNAcentral. Lineage: Eukaryota; Viridiplantae; Streptophyta; Magnoliopsida; Brassicales; Brassicaceae.
AUUUUGGCCCACGUGGGCUGUCUGUUCAGUACAGACAUGACGUCUGUGGGUGUCCGCCAGCACAAACAGGACGUCCGUGGCUGCCUGUGUGAGUCCGUGUGUGUCCGUCUGUGUCCGUCAGCACACACAGGAUGUCCGUGGCUGUCCAUCAGUACACAUAUCAGCACGUUGGUCCUUGGACUCAGCACGCUGGCCCUUCCCGUGGACUGUUUGGGUG